GACGAACGCUGGCGGCGUGCUUAACACAUGCAAGUCGAACGGAAAGGCCCUGCUUUCGUGGUGCUCUCGUGUGGCAAAGGGGUGAGUAACACGUGAGUACUGUGCUCCAGAUCGUGGUAAGACUGGAGAAAUGGGUGUCAUAUAGCGGAGGAGCGCUUUUUCUUGAUGUGGUUGGUUGGUUUGUUUCGGCGGGUGGGGAUGGACGCCCGGCUUGUUUGCUUGUUGGUGGGGUAGUGGCUUACCAAGGCUCGGGCGGGUAGCCGGCCUGAGGGGGUGACCGGCACAAUUGGGACUGAGAUCCGGCCAAGCCUCCUCCGGGAGGAAGCAGUGGGGAAUAUUGCAAAAUGGGCGGAACCCUGAUCCACGACCGCCGCUUGCGGGAUGACGGCCUCCGGGUUGUAAACCGCUUUCGCCUGUGACGAAGCGUGAGUGACGGUAAUGGGUAAAGAAGCACCGGCUAACUACGUG
RNAcentral lists this ribosomal RNA (468 nucleotides) under uncultured bacterium. Its description in RNAcentral is "partial 16S ribosomal RNA". It matches the Rfam family "Bacterial small subunit ribosomal RNA", at positions 28 to 507 of the family's 1533-position model. The record is from RNAcentral.